RNA transcript from Heterocephalus glaber (naked mole-rat), 4892 nucleotides. RefSeq lists it as uncharacterized. The record is from RefSeq and is a predicted model, not a curated record. Lineage: Eukaryota; Metazoa; Chordata; Mammalia; Rodentia; Bathyergidae.
CUCCAACUUAACAAACACGGGGAGGCAACACUUGUAGAAGAAAUUGUUUGGAUUGAAAACAGAUGAAUUUACCUCUAGGAAUAAAUAACCCAGUCAAAAAGGACCAAAAAAAAUCUGAAGAUAAGAAGGACAAAUCUUGAAGAUGGGGGAUCUAUCAUUUUCUAGAGUUUACAGCAAAAAUUACUGAGUCCCCUGCUUCAUUUACUGACCUGCUAAUUGGGACAUUCAUCGCCAGCCACGCUCUGAGAAGCAGUCAGAUGGUGGUGAAGUGGAAGGACUUCAAAUCUCACGUAGAUGGAGAACAUCCUCAUGUUUUGUCCUGAAGUGUGUUCCUCCACGUGGCAAACAGACUUCUGCGUCUGAUCCUGGGACCCCUGGAGACCCGUGGGCCUCACAGCCCGCGCCUGGAGGACCAUCACCUUCAAGGGCAGGUGGAGCAAGUCUGAGCCAUCCUCUUCUCUUCCUUCACAGGGGAAGCAGAGGACAGAAGCAGAGGCUUGUUGGUAUCAGGGCAGGGGUCCCUAUUCUGGCAAAACCACCGAACCUCCUGGGCCAUGGCUAAGAAAGGGAUGCCACCAGCCUGUCAGAUGGCAGGCACAAAUCUGACCACAACGGACCCAAGCUGCCCAUGAGGGCAAGGAGACCCGGCCCCUAGAUGCCCUGUUGGCCUCAGGAAAGAGUGUUGAGCGUCCCUGCCCAGCCUCCACGUCACUCUCCAGGGGCCACUCCCCACACAAAGCCCUGCAGGGCCUCAGGGAGUCCAGUCAGAGCCAUGAGAUUGGCUUUCCCAGGAGAAAGGGCUGCAUUACUGCAGUGCGCUGCAGUGUGGGGAUGAGGUGAUAUUUUAAACCUUUAGUAAUAAAGAAGACUCCAGGAACUGGGAAGUGGUCCUCAGCAACUCCGCUGGGCCAAGAUAACCAGCACAGAUGGUGGCUUGAUUGGAGCAGCCCUGUGAGCUCUGAGCCCAUCUUUGAGAGGGGCGGUGACACAUCAGAAGCAGAGACUGACGAGAAGAGGAGGAGCAAACAAAUCGCAAGCAUGGAGAGGGACAGCAGUGUGUCCCCAGGACAAAGCAUGGCCCGCAUCCUUGGAGCCCGAGGGGCUGGUAAGCCUGAGACCACUUUUGGGGACAGAAUCUCUGCACAGGCUACUCGGAGGCACAUGGCAGUUUUUGCACCAAUCCUCCUUGAAACCUCUCUACUGCUCUCUGAAACCAGCAGCAUUCAUUUUGAAAGCCUAGACAGCCGCAGAGAAUAGGGUUCAAAUCCACAUGCCCAGCACAUGCAGGGUGGCCCGGCAGGUCCAUGCUGGAACAGGAAUGAGGUCAAGGCCAGCAGAGGCUGAGCACAGGGCCCCAGGACCGGUGCUCCGGAGACCCCACUAGGAAACGGAGAAAAGAGGAAGAGCAAAGGAAACCCCCGCAAAGCCUCUUGGAUUGCUGCAAGGUUCUCAGUUUUUAUUUUAACUUCAGUCUACUUUGAGCUUGAUUCUGCCUGUGCGAGCAGUGGUGACUGAAUAAAGCUGAGUCUUGAGAGAUGCUGCCCUUUGACUAGAGCUUGCUGAAAUGAUCUUUCCCUCAAAACUGGAACCAGAUCUGACAAUCAAAUGAGUUCAUCGAAGUCACUGAAAAACCUGAAUUAAUGACCAAAAGUUGCACAUGUUCACCAUGUCGGAGACUGCUUACAUCCUCAACGUGUCACCGCACCUUUGCCUGCAUGUUUGUAGGCAGAACGGCCUACGGGGGGGUCCUGAGGCUGUGCUGGCCCGGCACCCUGAGACCCUCGUCCUGGGACCCUGUCUCCAGAGAGCGAGGGACCACAGCAGAUGAGGCUCCGUUGGGGGGGCAGCACCCCUCUCCCAGGUGGGUGCAGCCUCUGAAUCCGAGCCCGCAGCUGCACGCAGAACCACACGGCUGAGUCAGGGAUCUUCACCCCACUCGGUGCACACAGCAGGCCGUGUCACCAGCUACCCGGGAGCAUCACGAGGUUGUCCAGGCAGAUGCACAUGCCAGACCCCUCUGUGAGUCUCACGGUUUAUCAACCUUCUCAUGAGCAUGACAGUCCUGAGGUUCACACCAUGUCUGGGACCCUAGCACACGAAGUCCAGAGCACUCGGAGGCUUGGCUCCCCGGGGACGGCUGCAGGCCAAGCCAAGGAGUCACGGUUGGUGGUUGGACAGUCUGCACACUCGAGGUGCCAAGUGUCUCGACGAAUCUGGGUGAGCCUCACGCAGGUGGCUGGGUGACCCUCACUGCGCGGGCAGCAGUCAGUGCGGCUGGGUGGCCUGCGGCUUGUGAUCCCCGCAUGGAUGCUGAUGGGCUGAAGCAUUCUGCUUUUUUACCACUAGAAUCCCCACCUCACCGUCUCUGCCCUAAGUGAGACGGAGCCACCUGGAGUCAUGAGGCCGGGCACUCACAGCGUCCGCACAGUGCCUGGCCUGGCUGGUGGCCUUGGCCUCACUGAGGACGGUCCAAGAGGGAGUCGCCCACCCUAAGGGGCAGUGCUUGCGCUCAUACGCACAGGGACCCGGAAAUGCGGCUGGGAAGAUUCCCCACACAUCUGAAAAUGAGGCCACUUCUCAUUUCUCACUCCAUCAACAAAUGUUUACCUCCUACAAAAUUGGAAUUGCAAAGAGCUAAUAGGAGAGAAACUGAAGCAGGGACAAGGAAGGAGAGGGAGAAGGUGCAGGAGGCAUCAAAUCGCGUGACUAAUGAACAUUUACCUCCUCCAAACACAACAUGGCUUCAGUUACUUCCCUGUAAAAAGAGUUAAAGUCAAGUUAAUGUGUUAGUGCCAAAGAGAAAGUGGCAAAAUCCAUCUGUGGAAUUCAAUAUUUGGCAGUGAAAUACACAAAUGUACUUGUUAACUAAAUUAGUGUUCUGAAAAUAAGGAUGGUGACAUUACUCACAAAACUACGUCACUGUUCUUGGGAGAGUUUUCAAGGCUUUGGAUAUUUUUAAAAGGGGAAAAGAGGAGGAGGGAAGAGAGAAAGAAAGAAAGAAAGAAGAAAGAAAGAGGAAGAGGAAAGAGAGAGAGAGAGAAAGAGAGAGAGAGAAGGAGGAAGAACAAACUACUCUUUACUGGCUGGGAGUAGCUUAAAAUAAAACGUGUGUUCAACAGGUUCUGCACAGUUAGGUGAGUUUGGGUCCCGAGAGUAUCUUUCCAGGAAGCACGGAGAGAGGCUCAGUGUGGACUGUCCACGGGCCCGGCCCCCAAGACUCCUCUGUGCCUUCCUGAGCCCCUUGCCAGGCCCCUGGAAGAUGCUCCCAGAUAUCCUGUGACAACCGCUGAUGGACGGUUUGUUUUGCCAACCUGUCCGAGUAAUCCGAUCGUUUGCUGAUUUAAGGCAAGCUCUUUAUUUGGAAACAUCAAAUGUGUUUUAUUGUACACAUCCCUGUCAGGGACUGUCCUGCCGAUGUGCAGGCUUGUGUGCAUUUCAGUAAAUCAGCCGUGUAAGUAUCAAGGAGAAAUCCGCUCCGGGCUUGGGGAAUGGGGGCGUUGGAACAUGCAGACAGGGGCAGGGGGCACUCGGGCCCUGGCAGCAUUCCUGGGAGGUGUCAAUGACUUUAAGCCUGUCAGGAAUGUCUCUGGUUUACCCAGGAAAGACAACUCAUGGUUAGUCAAAAGGAGCAACGGUUCCUACCAGUGAGCCAAUGAUCAAGGGACAGAGCAAAAGCUUUGUUGCCACUUCGGAAAGAUGCGCUGUGGACUUUAACCCCCGUGUUUGAAGUCAGCUUUGAAAGCCUGCAGAGGUUUGCGGGGUCAGAGGCUGCUCUGUGGAGGGCACAGCACACUGACUGUAAAUGCCAGGGAGGAGAAUGGCAGGGCCAGGGGGCAGAGCUGUGGAGCAGGUGGCCCUCUCUCCCCCCAGAUCCCACCCACAGCACAUGGAAGCUCUCACCAGCCAGGACUGCUGAAGCCUCACAGUACUUUUCCCAAAGGGCUCAUGAUGUUUUCGUAUGCAGGAGUCCUGGGCAUUGUCGUCAUUAGCAUAGAAAUUCACAAACAGAGGUGCUUCUGGUGGCUUCACCCUAAUCUGUCUGCAGCUCUCCCCUGCUGCAUGGGGGAAGUGCAGGAAACCCCCAGAGCGCCAAGACCUGGUCUCUCUCGGGGCCAACUUAGGGUGUGGCCUGUUUUUUGGUGGGACCGUGAGAUCCUGCAGAACUUUUCAAGAGAGAUCAGGUUGGCCCCAGAGGGACCACAACCUCCUGCGGCACAGCCAUGGCCUUUCUUAGUCUGGGGUCCCCAAAGGGUUGGGAUUUGGGGGCGCAGAGAGACUGGAGAGCAGAAGGUUCCCUGUUCCACUUCUCUUGGAUAUUUAUGAGCCCUUUUCUUGGUACCUACCUUGGCCUGGUCUUAACCCUAAAUCCAACUAGAGCUAACCCAGACCCUGUUCCGGCAGGGCAGUGUCACUAGCUGAUUUCACAUAUUCUGUCCGUCCACUAGCCGAUUCUGUCUACAAAACACCAUGCCAGGCCAGCAUGGUUCCCAGAGAUUUGAUCCCCUGCGGAAUGAUGGAGCAUCCACGUCACUUUCCUGAGGGGCUGGCCGGCAUGAGCUCUCCCUGAGCAAGGGCUUACACCGUGUCUAUUCCCUCUGUUUCAUUUUUGCUCAAGUUUAAGUAACAAAAACAAUGCUUCAGCCUUUGAAGGAAUAUGAACAUAGUGGACCAGGCCCUGUGUUGGACAUCUGCAGGGAGCCACGAGCAUUGUUCUUCUCCAAGCUGAACGUCAGUCCCGACAGACAGUGGAACCAGCAGGUACCAGGGACAUCACUCCUGCGAAGCCCACAGAACCUGGGGCAGGAAGCACGUAGAUUAUGUAUCCAACGUGACCAGAACUGCAGUCUUUGUAAAUAAAGUCUUUGUAAAUAGGGAAGGGUGGAGGCCGUGAA